GCGAGUCCAGAGUGGUCAUGCACUCGGCGCACGGCUCAGUAACACGCGGAGAACCUGCCCUAAGGUGGGGGAUAACCUCGGGAAACUGAGGAUAAUACCCCAUAGUUCAUCGGCGCUGGAACGCCCGAUGGACGAAAGCUCCGGCGCCUUAGGAUGGCUCUGCGGCCUAUCAGGUUGUAGCGAGUGUAACGUACUCGCUAGCCGACAACGGGUACGGGCGUUGAGAGACGUCGCCCGGAGAUGAACUCUGAGACACGAGUUCAGGCCCUACGGGGCGCAGCAGGCGCGAAAACUCUGCAAUGCCGGCAACGGCGACAGGGGAACACCAAGUGCUUGCACUAUGUGCAAGCUGUUUUCAUGCCUAAAAAGCAUGGAGAGUAAGGGCUGGGUAAGACGGGUGCCAGCCGCCGCGGUAAUACCCGCAGCCCGAGUGGUGCUCGUUAUUAUUGGGCCUAAAGCGUCCGUAACCGGCUUCGUAAAUGCCUAGGGAAAUCGUCGUGCUCAACACGACGAAGGCCUGGGUAGACUGCGAGGCUCGAGACCGGGAGAGGCCAGAGGUACUCCAGGGGUAGAGGUGAAAUU
Molecule: ribosomal RNA, 582 nt
Filed under: uncultured archaeon
Lineage: Archaea
Description: bacterial SSU rRNA
Rfam family: Archaeal small subunit ribosomal RNA
Source: RNAcentral